Molecule: ribosomal RNA, 612 nt
Filed under: Triticum aestivum (bread wheat)
Lineage: Eukaryota; Viridiplantae; Streptophyta; Magnoliopsida; Poales; Poaceae
Description: partial small subunit ribosomal RNA
Source: RNAcentral
AUGCCUUACACGCUGGCCUGCUGGCACACGUCGUUCCCGACAAGCACGCACACUUCAACUCCUCCCCGCCAUCUCCUCACCAGCAACUCUAUCUUCGCACCCAUCCAUCUCGCGGCUCUUGCCAUGGAGGAUCGGCCGGGAAGCUCGUUGCCGGCCGUUCCUCGUCCGGUCCGGCCCCGUAGCGUCCAAGCGUCCUACUCGCCCCGCCGGCGCGUCCAUCCAUCCAACGCCCAGCUCCUCGUCUACCUAGCCCUCGCCGUCUCCUUGGCCGCACUCCUGGUCCUCACCGGCGUCACGCUCACCGUCGCGUCAGUCGUGCUCGUCGUCCUCGCCCCACUCUUGCUCCUCACCAGCCCUCUCUGGGCGCCGGUGACAGUCGUGGCCAUCGUCUCGGUGGGCGCCCUGCUGUUCGGCUGUAGCCUCACGGUGUUCGCGCUGGGAGCGGGCACGUGGGCGCACCGGCACCUGACGGGGCGGCACCCGGUGGGCGCGCGUCGGGUGGGCUACGCGCGUGGGCGUGGCCGGUUCGCCGGCGCCGGUGGCCACGCGACGGGCUACCACGGGCAGGUACAGGGGUACGAUCGGAUGAAGGACGCCGUGCCCGGGGCCUAG